UACGGGGGGGGCAAGCGUUGUUCGGAAUUACUGGGCGUAAAGGGCUCGUAGGCGGCCAACUAAGUCGGACGUGAAAUCCCCAGGCUCAACCUGGGAACUGCGUCCGAUACUGGAUGGCUUGAAUUCGGGAGAGGGAUGCAGAAUUCCAGGUGUAGCGGUGAAAUGCGUAGAUAUCUGGAGGAAUACCGGUGGCGAAGGCGGCAUCCUGGACCGCAACUGACACUGAUGAACGAAAGCCAGGGGAGCAAACGGG
Molecule: ribosomal RNA, 253 nt
Filed under: uncultured bacterium
Lineage: Bacteria
Description: partial 16S ribosomal RNA
Rfam family: Bacterial small subunit ribosomal RNA
Source: RNAcentral